GACGUAGGGGGCAAGCGUUGUUCGGAAUCAUUGGGCGUAAAGCGCUCGUAGGCGGUCGAUUAAGUCGGAUGUGAAAACCCAGGGCUCAACCCUGGGCCUGCAUUCGAAACUGAUCGACUCGAGUCCAGAAGAGGCAAGUGGAAUUCCCGGUGUAGCGGUGGAAUGCGCAGAUAUCGGGAAGAACACCAGUGGCGAAGGCGGCUUGCUGGGAUGUGACUGACGCUGAGGAGCGAAAGCUAGGGGAGCAAACAGG
RNAcentral lists this ribosomal RNA (253 nucleotides) under uncultured bacterium. RNAcentral's name for it is "partial 16S ribosomal RNA". It matches the Rfam family "Bacterial small subunit ribosomal RNA", at positions 524 to 776 of the family's 1533-position model. The record is from RNAcentral.